GCUAGGUGUAGUGGUGUGUGCCUGUAGUCCCAGCUACCUGGGAGGCUGAGGCAGGAGAAUCGCUUGAGCCCGGGAGUUUGAGGCUGCAGUGAGCUAUGAUUGUACCACUACACUUCAGCCUGGGCCACAGAGUGAGAUUCUGUCUCUA
Molecule: unclassified non-coding RNA, 148 nt
Organism: Papio anubis (olive baboon)
Lineage: Eukaryota; Metazoa; Chordata; Mammalia; Primates; Cercopithecidae
Rfam family: Metazoan signal recognition particle RNA
About the family: The signal recognition particle (SRP) is a universally conserved ribonucleoprotein. It is involved in the co-translational targeting of proteins to membranes.
Source: Ensembl